RNAcentral lists this transfer RNA (61 nucleotides) under Mesopedinella arctica. It matches the Rfam family "tRNA", at positions 6 to 65 of the family's 71-position model. Rfam says of the family: Transfer RNA (tRNA) molecules are approximately 80 nucleotides in length. Their secondary structure includes four short double-helical elements and three loops (D, anti-codon, and T loops). Lineage: Eukaryota; Dictyochophyceae; Pedinellales. The record is from RNAcentral.
AGUAGCUCAGUGGUAGAGCGUUCGGCUGUUAACCGAAUGGUCGUUGGUUCAAGUCCAACCU